RNAcentral lists this ribosomal RNA (433 nucleotides) under uncultured bacterium. RNAcentral describes it as "bacterial SSU rRNA". It matches the Rfam family "Bacterial small subunit ribosomal RNA", at positions 958 to 1397 of the family's 1533-position model. The record is from RNAcentral.
AACGCGAAGAACCUUACCUGGUCUUGACAUCCUGGGAACCCUGAAGAGAUUUAGGGGUGCCGCAAGGAGCCCAGAGACAGGUGCUGCAUGGCUGUCGUCAGCUCGUGCCGUGAGGUGUUGGGUUAAGUCCCGCAACGAGCGCAACCCUUGUCGUGCGUUGGUCGCAAGAUCUCUCACACGAGACCGCCGGUGACAAGCCGGAGGAAGGUGGGGAUGACGUCAAGUCAGCAUGGCCCUUACGUCCCGGGCUACACACGUGCUACAAUGGGAAGGACAGCGAGUCGCGAACCCGCGAGGGCAAGCUAAUCUCUUAAACCUUUCCUCAGUUCGGAUUGGAGGCUGCAACUCGCCUCCAUGAAGUCGGAAUCGCUAGUAACCGCAGAUCAGCUACGCUGCGGUGAAUACGUUCCCGGGCCUUGUACACACCGCAUAC